UAGGGUAGUAAAGCUCUUUUGUCCGGGACGAUAAUGACGGUACCGGAAGAAUAAGCCCCGGCUAACUUCGUGCCAGCAGCCGCGGUAAU
Molecule: ribosomal RNA, 89 nt
Filed under: uncultured bacterium
Lineage: Bacteria
Description: partial 16S ribosomal RNA
Rfam family: Bacterial small subunit ribosomal RNA
Source: RNAcentral